UACAGAGGUGGCAAGCGUUGUUCGGAAUUACUGGGCGUAAAGGGCGCGUAGGCGGCCAUCUAAGUCAGACGUGAAAUCCCCCGGCUUAACCUGGGAACUGCGUCUGAUACUGGAAGGCUUGAGUAUGGGAGAGGGAUGUAGAAUUCCAGGUGUAGCGGUGAAAUGCGUAGAUAUCUGGAGGAAUACCGGUGGCGAAGGCGGCGUUCUGGACUGCAACUGACACUGAGAGACGAAAGCCAGGGGAGCAAACGGG
Molecule: ribosomal RNA, 253 nt
Filed under: uncultured bacterium
Lineage: Bacteria
Description: partial 16S ribosomal RNA
Rfam family: Bacterial small subunit ribosomal RNA
Source: RNAcentral